CUUCCUGCCAGCCAGAUUUCUAGGUUCAUCACCCAUAGUUGAAAGUAGAUUUCCAAAAAAAGUCAGCUUCCAAAAGCUUUCUUCAAGACUCAGUGGCCAGACCUGUGGAAGAAAACUGGAAAUGACUGCAGAGGUGUACUGGGUUGCUGUUUUCUGAUGUUCCUUGGCGUACAGGCAAGAUUGUAAAAGGAAACCCACACUUUGUAUUGAAGAACAUGCCUUACUUCCAAAUAAUUGUUUUGAUUUAAAAAAUAAAUAAAAAUUAUAAUGCCUUUUUGGCCUCUCU
Molecule: long non-coding RNA, 286 nt
Filed under: Anser brachyrhynchus (Pink-footed goose)
Lineage: Eukaryota; Metazoa; Chordata; Aves; Anseriformes; Anatidae
Description: lncRNA (ENSABRG00000007083.1)
Source: RNAcentral